This 209-nucleotide long non-coding RNA is filed under the name Lathyrus oleraceus (garden pea). RNAcentral's name for it is "Pisum sativum (pea) long non-coding RNA (PSAT_LNC020542)". Lineage: Eukaryota; Viridiplantae; Streptophyta; Magnoliopsida; Fabales; Fabaceae. The record is from RNAcentral.
CUAGACAUAGGUUGAGGCUAAUGGUAUAGUGAUUACUUGGGCUGAGCAUUUUUGGAAAAAUAUUUCUUGGUUGAUGUUGUUGCACCCCAAAAUUUGCCCUCUAUUUUUAACUCUAACCAAUUUUUUGUUUCACAUUCAUUUGCAUCAUCUUCAUAGCAUAACAUUUAUUUUUCUCUGUCUUAAUAUUAGCCGGAAUAAUUUCUCGGAAU